This is a long non-coding RNA of Cuculus canorus (common cuckoo), 491 nucleotides long. RefSeq lists it as uncharacterized. The record is from RefSeq and is a predicted model, not a curated record. Lineage: Eukaryota; Metazoa; Chordata; Aves; Cuculiformes; Cuculidae. The transcript has 4 exons.
UUUAAACGCUGCGACUGUUGGAGACCGGUAAACGGCGGUGUUGGAGCGCGGGACGGCUGGGUUGCAGGAAAAAAGCCGUUACCGAGGCCUCCCGGCCGUCACUCGGCGCCCGUGCGGAGCCGCUUGCUGCCGGGGCCGCGUUCCCCGCCGGGCCGGGACUCCGCGAUGCGGCCGCGGCGCACGAAGUGCUGGACGCGCUCCUCGAGCCCCUCGCACCGCGGCCGCGACAGCAACGGUUUGUAGGCUGAACAAGCCCAACUCUCUCAGCCUGUCCUCAUAUGGAAGGUGCUCCAGCCCUCGGAUCAACUUUGUAGCCCUCCUAUGGACCUGUUCCAACAGCUCCAUCUUGCUUGUAUUGCCACAACCCCAUCCUUACUCUUUCCGUCAGCCAUGGGAGCAGCCUCCAGCCCUUGUAACAUGCUACGCAGCACUUGAGUCUUGACAGCGUGGUUGGCCCAGAGCCGCUGGAGGUGCGUAACGUUGAACUUGUG